GCUUCAGUGCUCUGAGAGCCUUUAUAGCUCUGUGACUUUAACACUUCAUGACUGAAAGCUGCUGCUCAGCGACUUCACCCACAGCAACCAUGAGUUUGAUCUUCAUCUUCAUCUGCACACUGGCCCUCUGCACUCGAGGAUCCAGAGGUCAGGUAACUGUGACUCAGAGUCCUGCAGUAAAAUCUGUUUCUCCAGGAGACACGCUCACUAUCAGCUGUAAAACCAGUCCUGAUGUUUACCGCUACAGUGAUGGAGAUGAAGGAAUGUUCUGGUAUCAGCAGAAACCUGGAGAAGCUCCUAAACUCCUGAUCAUAUUUGCUAAAAAGUUACAGUCAGGAGUUCCAGCUCGUUUCAGUGGCAGUGGAUCUGGAUCUGAUUUCACUCUGACCAUCAGUGGAGCCCAGACUGAAGAUGCUGGAGAUUAUUACUGUCAGAGUGCACAUGAGAUCAGUGAUAGCUUGGUGUUCACACAGCGUCAGAGAGUCGUACAAAAACCUCAGUGUGUGACUGCUGCAGCUGGGACCUACUGCAGCUGCUCCCAUUUGGGGUCUCCAUAGCAAAUCAUC
Molecule: non-coding RNA, 566 nt
Organism: Silurus meridionalis
Lineage: Eukaryota; Metazoa; Chordata; Actinopteri; Siluriformes; Siluridae
Source: the annotation of a RefSeq genome assembly